This is a long non-coding RNA of Quercus robur (English oak), 474 nucleotides long. RefSeq lists it as uncharacterized. NCBI's taxonomy places the organism in Eukaryota, Viridiplantae, Streptophyta, Magnoliopsida, Fagales, Fagaceae. The transcript is spliced from 2 exons. The record is from RefSeq and is a predicted model, not a curated record.
AUCUUUCAAGAAUAUGGAGGAAAUUGCCAAUGGAAAAAUAAGAACUGGUUACUGAUUGAAUGGAGUGCACAGUCCAAAAAAUGCAUGCAAAAUGGUUACUGACAUUGUUCUUCACAAUCCGUCAUUGUUCUUUAUUGGUUUUGAUUCCCUCUUUCCCGCUGGUUGAUGGUUAUGCUUCUAGUUUAGAUAUUUUGAGAUGAACUGAACUUGCAUAUAAAUUUUGUCGGUAUUAUUCUUCUGCAGGGAAUCAUUUUGAAAGAAAACGGUAAAGUUGGAGAUGCAGAGAGGAUGUUUAUUCAGGCACGGUUCUUUGCACCAGAGAAAGCUAAGGCACUUGUAGAUCGUUACUCAAGACGGUAACUGCUGUUGUUACUGCCUGUUUUUGUGCAUGGUUCGUUUAUAACUUAGUCUUGAUGUAGUUCCAUUUUGACUAUUGGACUAUUUAUAUCGGUCUCCAAAAUUUUCAUAAGUUCA